UUUUGUAGAUACUGAAGGAAUCAGUGAGCUCCUGAGUAUCUAAAGGACAUGACUGGAUUAGUAUUUGGAUGGCAGACUUCCAGGAAAACCAAGAUGCUGCAGGAU
Molecule: ribosomal RNA, 105 nt
Organism: Chelonoidis abingdonii (Abingdon island giant tortoise)
Lineage: Eukaryota; Metazoa; Chordata; Testudines; Testudinidae
Source: Ensembl